GCCGGUGUAGCUCAGUGGUAGAGCAACCGCCUUGUAAGCGGUAGGUCGUCGGUUCAAUCCCGACCUCCGGCU
RNAcentral lists this transfer RNA (72 nucleotides) under Pseudonocardia sp. N23. RNAcentral describes it as "tRNA-Thr". It matches the Rfam family "tRNA". From Rfam's summary of the family: Transfer RNA (tRNA) molecules are approximately 80 nucleotides in length. The record is from RNAcentral. Lineage: Bacteria; Bacillati; Actinomycetota; Actinomycetes; Pseudonocardiales; Pseudonocardiaceae.